GUUCUUCAACAUCCUUUGGAAGUGUCAUGGUCCACUGAUGUUACCGAUGAUCCCAGACUAAAUUUUGGGUGGGAUGAAACUGAGAAUAAUAAUUCCAUGGAUGCACUGCUAGAUGCCAUUCUGGAAGCAGAGAGUGAGUGCUGCCCACCUCCUCUGCUGGUGCACAAGAAGGAUCUGAAUCCUGUGACAGCAGUGUUGGUUCCACUUGCACCCAAGAAAGAACCGCAGGAGGAGUCGAAGAGAUUAUGGGGCAAUUGGAGUAUAUGAUGGAUGUCAAAGAUGGCAGUGUAAUCAGCAUAUGGAAAUGAAUACACUGGAAGGAAGGUUUCUGGGAAAGCCAGGAGGCAGCCUCAUAAAGACAUGCACUAGACAGUACACGGUUAAUGCUCUUUUCAUAAACAUACCAAGACUAGGACCUCUGAAGGAAUCAACCUCCAAAUUUUACAGGAGAGUGGGCUGAACUAACAAUUUCUAUGAGAAAUCAAGGAAAUUCCAACAUUAAAUCAGAAAUUGACUAUGCUGAUGAAGUUGAGGGAUAUGUAGCAGAGAGAAGUGAAGAUGAAGAGUUUUGAACAAUGAGGAAUUAGUGGAAGAGGAUUCAUAUGCUGUAAAUGUUCUAAAGGUCAAUGAAAAUUACAAGUGCUACCAGUAGAAUGUUGUUUGAAGAGAUGAAGGUGUCUGCAGAUAAAUUUUGGUAGAAGUGGCACUCUAGCACAAGUACUUUCCCCUUGAGAGAGCAAUGCAGCAUGUACUAAAAAUAACAACAGCUUGAAGGAAAAUGAAUUUUGUGGUUUCACAUGCAGUUCAUGCAAGCAGAGCUUUUCUUGAAAAUAUAGGCACAUAAAGCAUGUUUUUAUUCACACUGAUAGUGUGCUUCUGCAUAUAAUGUUGUGAGGUACUUCGCACGAUAGUGGCUUCAGCAAGCAUUUAAGAAAGAGUGAACAUAAUUGAGGUAUGUCUAUAAUGAGAGAUGGAUUACACAAUGCUUGUGAGAUAUAUAAAUGUGGUGAGAUUUACAGAAACAAAACUACAAAAACCUAUCCAAAUGUUUGUCACUCCAACCUGAUAGAGAAGGGAUCUUUAUCUUAAGAGUGUUGUAACAGCUCGCUUAGAAAACUGAGGAAUAUCAGUUGUAUUUCUUUUGUAGAAAGCAGAUCUUAUAGUUCUGUGUACGAUACUGACGAAAUGCCAUGCAAUUGUGAUGUUUGUGUGAAAUCCUUUAUUAUGAUCAUCUCCAGAAUCAAGCAUUAUUACAUGUUGGCGACAGACGUCACAAUUGUGAUUUUGAUAAGAAAAUGUUUGUUGUGAGUGUAUGGUAAACUUAAGAUGUCACAUUAGCACAUCCUGGCAAAAGGCCACAUAAAUGUGAAGUUUGAGCGAAAUCUUUAUUGAACAUUGUGAUAUCAAUACAUACUGUCGAAGUUGGAAACAUAUGUGAUGUUUGUGGGAAAUCCAUCAGUGUUUCCAGAUUUCCAGUUCCACCACAGUGUCACGUGUUGGGAAGAGGCAUUCAGUAAUACAUGCUAAUGAGAUGUCACACUAACGCGAUGUCCUUGCGAUAUAUAUUACAAAUUUUGAUAACCUUCAGGGGUAGACAUUAACACACACUGAUGAGAGACAUAACAUGUAUGUUUUGUUUAUGGAAGCCCUGUUCUGUUGUGAUAGCAAGACCCACAUCUUAGUAUUUAUUAAAGAGUGACUACUGUGAUAAUUAUAAGAGGUUGUUUUCAAGUCAUGUAUACAGAAAGUUAUAUAUUGUACAGAUAAUGCAAAAAUUAGGAUUAGUAACUACGAGCAAAAUCAAACAAGUGCAGUUUAACUGCAAUUUGUUUAUUGAAGUCUGUAACUAGAUUGAUAAUUCAGUGUGCUGCACAAGGCUAAACAGUGUGAUUAUUGUUAGUUAUGUUAUUUUAAAGUUUUAUUGAAAUCCAUGAAAUAAUGUGCUGUGUAGUUUACAGGUAGAAAAUUGUGUUAUCUUUCAUGUGGAAACAUAAAUCACAAUUUAUAAUGCUAUAUCUGGUUACACAUCAAAAUGUGCAAUGAAAGAAAAUUUGUUACUCAAGGUUGUUGUCUGGAACCAUAUGGCUACAUGUUAAAUAUUUGGUUGAUUUAUAUCAACUUGUCUGUUGCAGAGCUCUUACAAUAUUUUGUUGUUUUUAAAAUUAUUUACUUAUGUUGGAUUUU
Long non-coding RNA from Schistocerca piceifrons (Central American locust), 2184 nucleotides. RefSeq lists it as uncharacterized. NCBI's taxonomy places the organism in Eukaryota, Metazoa, Arthropoda, Insecta, Orthoptera, Acrididae. The record is from RefSeq and is a predicted model, not a curated record. The transcript is spliced from 8 exons.